This 97-nucleotide ribosomal RNA is filed under the name Olea europaea subsp. europaea. RNAcentral describes it as "SSU_rRNA_bacteria". The record is from RNAcentral. Lineage: Eukaryota; Viridiplantae; Streptophyta; Magnoliopsida; Lamiales; Oleaceae.
AAUGACCGGGACAAAGGGUCGCGAUCCCGCGAGGGUGAGCAAACCCUUGAAACCCUUCCUAAGGUCAGAUUGUAGGCUGCAAUAUGGAUCUGAAUUG